This 229-nucleotide ribosomal RNA is filed under the name uncultured bacterium. RNAcentral describes it as "partial 16S ribosomal RNA". It matches the Rfam family "Bacterial small subunit ribosomal RNA", at positions 93 to 339 of the family's 1533-position model. The record is from RNAcentral.
UAGUGGCAGACGGGAUAGUAACGCGUGGGAAUUUGCCCAAUAGUACGGAAUAACUGUGGGAAACUGCAGCUAAUACCGUAUACGCCCUCCGGGGGAAAGAUUUAUCGGCAAAGGAUGAGCCCGCGUUGGAUUAGGUAGUUGGUGGGGUAAUGGCCUACCAAGCCGACGAUCCAUAGCUGGUCUGAGAGGAUGAUCAGCCACAUUGGGACUGAGACACGGCCCAAACUCC